GGGUAGUUUGACUGGGGCGGUCUCCUCCCAAAGAGUAACGGAGGAGCACGAAGGUUGGCUAAGCAUGGUCGGACAUCAUGCGGUUAGUGCAAAGGCAUAAGCCAGCUUGACUGCGAGAGUGACGGCUCGAGCAGGUACGAAAGUAGGUCUUAGUGAUCCGGUGGUUCUGAAUGGAAGGGCCAUCGCUCAACGGAUAAAAGGUACUCCGGGGAUAACAGGCUGAUACCGCCCAAGAGUUCAUAUCGACGGCGGUGUUUGGCACCUCGAUGUCGGCUCAUCACAUCCUGGGGCUGAAGUAGGUCCCAAGGGUACGGCUGUUCGCCGUUUAAAGUGGUACGCGAGCUGGGUUUAGAACGUCGUGAGACAGUUCGGUCCCUAUCUGCCGUGGGCGUUGGAAGAUUGAAAGGGGCUGCUCCUAGUACGAGAGGACCGGAGUGGACGCACCACUGGUGUUCGGGU
This 459-nucleotide ribosomal RNA is filed under the name Providencia rettgeri. RNAcentral describes it as "partial 23S ribosomal RNA". It matches the Rfam family "Bacterial large subunit ribosomal RNA", at positions 2263 to 2721 of the family's 2925-position model. The record is from RNAcentral. Lineage: Bacteria; Pseudomonadati; Pseudomonadota; Gammaproteobacteria; Enterobacterales; Morganellaceae.